Molecule: ribosomal RNA, 119 nt
Filed under: Scophthalmus maximus (turbot)
Lineage: Eukaryota; Metazoa; Chordata; Actinopteri; Pleuronectiformes; Scophthalmidae
Source: RNAcentral
GCUUACGGCCACACCGCCUAGUUCACGCCCGAUUUCGUUUGAUCUCGGAAGCUAAGAUAGGUUGGCCCUGGUUAGUACUUGGAUGGGAGACCGCCUGGGAAUACCAGGUGCUGUAAAGC